This 433-nucleotide ribosomal RNA is filed under the name uncultured bacterium. Its description in RNAcentral is "partial 16S ribosomal RNA". It matches the Rfam family "Bacterial small subunit ribosomal RNA", at positions 29 to 507 of the family's 1533-position model. The record is from RNAcentral.
AACGAACGCUGGCGGCAUGCCUAACACAUGCGAGUCGAACGAGACCUUCGGGUCUAGUGGCGCACGGGUGCGUAACGCGUGGGAACCUGCCCUUAGGUUCGGAAUAACUCCCCGAAAGGGGUGCUAAUACCGGAUAAUGUCUUCGGACCAAAGAUUUAUCGCCUUUGGAUGGGCCCGCGUUGGAUUAGCUAGUUGGUAGUGUAAAAGCCUACCAAGGCGACGAUCCAUAGCUGGUCGGAGAGGAUGAUCAGCCACACUGGGACUGAGACACGGCCCAGACUGCGACGGGAGGCAGCAGUGGGGAAUAUUGGACAAUGAGCGAAAGCCUGAUCCAGCAAUGCCGCGUGAGUGAUGAAGGCCUUAGGGUUGUAAAGCUCUUUUACCCGGGAUGAUAAUGACAGUACCGGGAGAAUAAGCUCCGGCUAACUCCGUG